This 373-nucleotide ribosomal RNA is filed under the name uncultured organism. Its description in RNAcentral is "partial 16S ribosomal RNA". It matches the Rfam family "Bacterial small subunit ribosomal RNA", at positions 527 to 896 of the family's 1533-position model. The record is from RNAcentral.
GUAGGUGGCAAGCGUUGUCCGGAAUUAUUGGGCGUAAAGCGCGCGCAGGCGGUUCUUUAAGUCUGAUGUGAAAGCCCACGGCUCAACCGUGGAGGGUCAUUGGAAACUGGAGAACUUGAGUACAGAGAGGAAAGCGGAAUUCCACGUGUAGCGGUGAAAUGCGUAGAGAUGUGGAGGAACACCAGUGGCGAAGGCGGCUUUCUGGUCUGUAACUGACGCUGAGGCGCGAAAGCGUGGGGAGCAAACAGGAUUAGAUACCCUGGUAGUCCACGCCGUAAACGAUGAGUGCUAAGUGUUAGGGGGGUUUUCCGCCCCCCUUAGUGCUGCAGCUAACGCAUUAAGCACUCCGCCUGGGAGUACGGCCGCAAGGCUG